CACGCCGGGGAGGCGCCGUGCACCCAAUCGGAGGCCAAUAUAGGUAGCGGCGCAGCCAUUCAGCGUGCAGGCCGUGGGGCUGGCCCGAGCGGCGAAUCAGAGAGCGGGGCCCCUGGGAGCCAACGAGCCGGCCCAGUUGGCGUCCAAUCCGGGGCGAGCGCAGGUAGGCGCCUAGCCAAUCAGAGAAGGGGAGGGUUCCAGCACAGAACAGGGAGCAUAACAGCCAAUCAGAAGGUGAGGCUGCCUCAGCUGGUGGGCAGGGCGGGCCAAUCAGGUGCUGGCUUUGGGGGCGUGUUGAACUUUGGUGGGAGCUUUGGUUCGGCUGGGACCUGCGCCCUGAAUGAAGGCUUCCCUGGUACCCCGUGCCGAUCUGCGGUCUUGGGGACCUGCGCGUCCGACAGCGCGUGCUCGAAGAGGAGAGGCAACCUCAGCCCCAAGGGGUUUGAACCGACCCACUUUCAGUUACGAGUAAACUGAGACCAGAGAGCAGAGGGGGCUUAUUUCCCUCUGCCCCAUACUGGCCGGCGAAAGGGCAAGUCACACAGACCUUUUUGUCAAGUGUGUGGGGCGGGGCGCGCAGUAGGCGCCCUAAACGCUGGACUGAACAGAGAAGCUUAACUGAUACUUAAGAGUGGAAGCUUAGCUACAGUUAAGGACUUCUUCCUCUUUUCAUUCAUUUAACAAAGAUUUAUUGAUUCAGUCACGUCUAUGCUACUUGAUGAGGCGUCUUGGGAGCAUUUCAAACAAGAAGUCGGUUUUCCACCUACCCCUCAGUUUUCCCAAGACAUUCCUGCGUGAACAGCCACACCUUCCCACCCGCCUUCACCUCUCCUACCCGACUCUGUCUCUGGCUGGAUUGGAUUACAGUCCAGAUGGAUGAACCUCCAAAACAUGCUUCUACCUGAAAGAAGCCCAGCACAAAGGCCGCCUAUUGGAUGAUUCCAUUUACGGCAAAUGCCCAGAAAAGGCAAGUCUACACAGAGAGUAGCUUGAUGCUGCCCUGGGACUGGGGAAUUUACUACAAGUGGGCAUCACAGGGUGAUGGCAAUGUUCUCAAACCAUACUGAGGUAAUUGGUACACACCUCUGUAAAUUUAUUUAAAACAUUAAAGCAUGUGAAUCUA
This is a long non-coding RNA of Symphalangus syndactylus (siamang), 1123 nucleotides long. RefSeq lists it as uncharacterized. NCBI's taxonomy places the organism in Eukaryota, Metazoa, Chordata, Mammalia, Primates, Hylobatidae. The record is from RefSeq and is a predicted model, not a curated record.